AGGACUGAGCCUGCAGGUCACAUGACCCUCCACCAUGUGACCAGCUCUGAUAAAGGCCUCUACAGGUGUAGCAUCAUCGGUCAUGGAGAGUCUCCAUCCAGCAGGAUCUCUGUCUCAGCUCCACCCACCAGUGAAGCUCUACCUUCUACCUCAGCCUCCCUCCAGGUCAGGCUGGCCUGCCACCUGGUGGUCUUCUGUCCGUACUUCAUCUCCACUCUCCUCCUGGUGUCUCUAUAACAGCACAAAUUCUCAGGACGUGAUGUGCCAGUGUCUCCAGCAAUGACUCCACCCAUCCAGGCUGAGCAGAGAUUGAAUGAUGUUUAUGAUGAAGUGUCAGAGAAUAAUUUCUGAAUAAAACUAAUUAUUUUUUGAUUGAAAAAA
This is a long non-coding RNA of Fundulus heteroclitus (mummichog), 381 nucleotides long. RefSeq lists it as uncharacterized. Lineage: Eukaryota; Metazoa; Chordata; Actinopteri; Cyprinodontiformes; Fundulidae. The transcript has 3 exons. The record is from RefSeq and is a predicted model, not a curated record.